CGGAACGGGUGAGUAAUGCGUGACCACCUGCCCCAUGCUCCAGAAUAGCUCUUGGAAACGGGUGGUAAUGCUGGAUGCUCCAACUUGACGCAUGUCUUGUUGGGAAAGUGUUUAGUGGCAUGGGAUGGGGUCGCGUCCUAUCAGCUUGUAGGCGGGGUAAUGGCCCACCUAGGCUUCGACGGGUAGCCGGCCUGAGAGGGCGGACGGCCACAUUGGGACUGAGAUACGGCCCAGACUCCUACGGGAGGCAGCAGAAA
Molecule: ribosomal RNA, 257 nt
Filed under: uncultured Gardnerella sp.
Lineage: Bacteria; Bacillati; Actinomycetota; Actinomycetes; Bifidobacteriales; Bifidobacteriaceae
Description: partial 16S ribosomal RNA
Rfam family: Bacterial small subunit ribosomal RNA
Source: RNAcentral